CACACUUAGUAGCCCUGUUCCCUCUACAGUACACUUCUUUUGAUCACACUUAGUAGCCCUGUUCCCUCUACAGUACACUUCUUUUGAUCACACUUAGCAGCCCUGUUCCCUCUACAGUACACUUCUUUUGAUCACACUUAGUAGCCCUGUUCCCUCUACAGUACACUUCUUUUGAUCAUAUUUAGUAGCUCUCUUUCCUCUACAGUACACUUAUUUUGACCACACCAACUAGACAGUUGCUGAUAGCUCUUUUGAUUUGAUAGAAUUACUGUUAUAAACCGGGUGGUCAAAUCCCGAAUGCUGAUUGGCUGAUAGCUGUGGUGUAUGAGACCCUAUACCAAGGGUAUGACAUGACAUCACUUUUUUCUCCAAUUGUGUUUGUAACCCGUUUAUAAAAGCCACAAGGCUCGGGGGGGGGUUGUGAUAUGUUGCCAAUAUUCCACGGCUAAGUGCUGCGUCCAGGCACUCCGCAAUGUAUCGUGCCCAUGAACAGUUCUUAGCUGUGCUAUACUGGCAAUAUACCACACCCCCUCUGGCCUUUUUGCUUAAAUAUACUACUACCAUAUUCAGGAUACAUUUGACUGUGACUGAGAUAUGUGGUUGUCCUGCUUGGCUAUUUUAAGAUGAAUGCACUAAUAGGAUGUCACUCUGGAUUAGAGAGUCUGCCAAAUCAAUAAAAUGCCAUUGUAAAAAUGAGACUUCUGACUGACUAGGGAUUUAGUUGAAAGUCAUGGACCAUAUAGGGAACAAGCCAAGGUGCCGUGUAAGAUGGAGCCACUCAAUACCACAGGCUUUCGGACUGUUCAGCCCUAUCACUCACUACUGCUACAUCAUCAGACCAGUCCCCCCCUGAAGGGGCCUCCCCCCCGCGCCACGCACCCCGUUUCCCAACAGGCGGACCAACUGUCGCUAAUGUUGUCUGUUCUGCCGGGAUUUGUGUCUUUCAAACUUCAGAGUGGUGAUUUCAGACAGGGGCAGUGAAUGAGUGAAAGAGAGAAUCGGCAGCAAAAUGAAACCAAAAUAAGCCUGCAAUUGACUCUUAGUACAACAACGUUAGAAUAAUACCGAUAGCAGAAACAGUCGCUUCCCUGAUAGCCAUUGUAAUUCCAGAAAUUGCCAGUGUGUUCACAAAUCUAUGUUGACUGUUUAGGAAUAGUCACAACUAUUGUGUGUGUACAUAAGUGUGUGUGUGUGUGUGUGUGUUAAUCAUCUCUGCGGAUUGUGGGUGCUGACUGAUUUCCUCUAUAAAUCUGUAACCAGGUAAAUGUGAGUAAUUGCAUAAAAACACAAUAGUAACAAAAUUAUAAGUCGGAAAAAACAUGGAAUUAAUGUAACUAGAACUCUGAAUCCUGUUCUGUUGGAUUUUAAGCAUCAAGUUACCCUCGAUAGUUAUAAAGAAGGGAAGCAUUUGAAUGUGUUUUCACCACGUUAUGUGAUUUCUGUGAUUGUCGUUGUUUCAAUGUUUCAGAUAUUAUGCAUUUCACUUCAUUUUGCCACAGCUCACUCUGGGUCUCAGUCAUCUGUGGUAGCUGCGUGCAGUGUGUUGAAGAGGAAGUCAUUGUUGAUUCGCUGCAGGGCUGGGCUAUCAUUUCGGCUCAAAGUCCACAUCAGGGCUGGAAAAACGUCAGUAAUUAGAAAAAUAAUUGGUUCAUUAUAAUAUGCUCAAACUUUUGAGUGCUUUAGUAAUUCAAAACCUAACCCAAAAUGUGGGACAUAUUUUAUCCACACUUUUAACAGUUUUUGAUAACGUUGAACUAAACCAAAUACUAUUAAUGUUACUAGAGUAAUAUUAGAAUCUUCUCUUAUCUGUCAGUAGAGUUUCAUCCACUAUUUCUCACAACCUAUUUCUCACAACCUGAAGUUGGGUGUGUGAGCACAAGUACAGUGUCUGUAUGUAUGUGUGUGUGCAUUUUUCUGUAAUCAUGGUGAAAAAAAUAUUGUUCUAUUGACAUUUUCUCAUUGCUGCUUAUCAUGACACUUGGUGAGACUGAGCAUAAAUAAAUGUUUGACAGUAUUGAUUUAGCUGCUUUAUUGUUAUCCAGCUAGAUAAACAAAAUAUUUGUUCUGGUUCUACCAUGUACUGUAUAUCUGCUGAACCAGAGCAUUACUUUGAACUUGAUUCUACACAAAUCUGCCCACCAUACUGAAUACGUUCAGAGUCACUGGCUUUAUCCUUAUCCCACACACCAGAUUUAUAUCCAGUAAACCUAAGCUAUUUAUAUUCCUCUACUUUUGUUUUGAAAAAAGAAACAACGGUUCAAACAAGAUAAAUGUAAGUAAAAUACGACGUACAUAAGUAGCUCGGCAUAGUUAUUGCCGAACAAGAGAAUCAAGCCGUAAGACCCAGGGUGUUCCGAGGUGUGUUACUGUACAUUAGCACCUUUGUGGUGUCAUCCUCCAUCGACGUUUGUGUCCGUUGUGUGUAGUCUGUCGUGCCUUAAUACGAGUUGUGGUGGUGCUCUGUCAUUUAUCAAGUGCCUGUGUGACUGUCAACACUCCGACCAUCUCCUGUCCUGUCGCCGCCGUCACUCCUUUUUCUGUCCGUUUCAAAUUCCUCCUGCGUCAAGUAGCACCGAAACCUCAUUGGCACCUCUUGAACUGAGUGACGCCAUCCUAGGCCAAUGACAGGGCUUGUUUGCCUGCAGGUUUGGGUUAGACUGUGGAGCUGAACAAACAGGACACGCCUACAUCCAUGGCGUAACAGUUAGCUGUCUACCAUUUAUUCUGCCAGUCAAAAUAUUUGUAAUUGCGAAACAUUUUGUGGAACAUAUCAAGGAGUUUCAUGAAUUUGCCCAAUAGAAACUCUGUUUAACAAAACAUUUAGUAACUUACAGAAUGAAUACACUACGCUUCUUAAAAUGGCAGAUAAUGAACUAUGUAACUCCACUCAUCCAGCUCCAGGUAAACUUUCCAAAUGUUUUGUUAUAUGAUGUUGUUAUUGUACCUCUACCAUAAAUCCCUUAUCUUAACUUCUUCUUGUUUUUCAACUUUAUAAACUCCAAUGUAACUAGAAUCUGACAAAGAGGGAUUGGACAAUGAUGUCUACAAAGAUCGCACUUACAGAAAUAUAGUAGUGGUAUAGUCUGUAAAUGAUCUCUGAAAUUGUUCUGACUGAAAACUAGCGAAUCAAAACUACAGAAACCAAGUGGAACCUUUAGAACCUCAGCUUCCAACCAAUACUUGAUUACCUGUAUGACAUCAUCAGUGCCCUAUCUCACCCAUCUCUGUCUGGUUCUAAGACAUGGUUGAAGGACCUCUUUCCAUCUUUCCAUCUGGGUUGUAAGCCAUAGAUGCUUCUGGGCAGCGUUCAAUUUAACUUACGGAAUGUUAACAUAAACAAAAUGGUGCUGUACUGAACGACUAGAUGAAAAAUAAGGUGUAUGGGUUGUGAUUUAAGGAAGCUACCAAAAUGUCCCUUCACCUUUAAUUAGGUCAUUCAACUCUGCCACACACACCAAAUGGAUCAAACAUACUAUUUAGUCUGUUCACUGAUGUUUUGUGGAAUUGUUCAGUUCAGUGCAAACCGUGCCGCAACUUAGCAAACUUUUAAUCGAACUGAACGCACCCCUGUUGUGUUCCAUUGCCCUCUCUCACUGGCUGGCUAUGUGUAAUUGCAUUCUUUGAUGUCUUUGUAUGAUUCCUCUACAAAGCUGAUGAUUAAAAAAAUUACCUCCUACUGGUC
Long non-coding RNA from Esox lucius (northern pike), 3682 nucleotides. Lineage: Eukaryota; Metazoa; Chordata; Actinopteri; Esociformes; Esocidae. The record is from Ensembl.